UACGUAGGAGACGAGCGUUGUCCGGAAUUACUGGGCGUAAAGCGCGUGUAGGCGGAUGGGCAAGUCUGCUGUGAAAGCUCCUGGCUUAACCGGGAGUGGUCGGUGGAAACUGCCAAUCUGGAGGACGGUAGAGGUAGGUAGAAUUCCCGGUGUAGUGGUGAAAUGCGUAGAGAUCGGGAGGAAUACCUGUGGCGAAGGCGGCCUACUGGGCCGGACCUGACGCUGAGACGCGAAGGCGUGGGGGAGCGAACGGG
This 254-nucleotide ribosomal RNA is filed under the name uncultured bacterium. Its description in RNAcentral is "partial 16S ribosomal RNA". It matches the Rfam family "Bacterial small subunit ribosomal RNA", at positions 524 to 776 of the family's 1533-position model. The record is from RNAcentral.